AAUCAACCAGACUAACCCCCAUGAAAAACAGGCCAUCCUGCUUCCCUUCUAGAAAGGAAGACUAAGAAUAAAAAAGUGUCACUAUGCGAUCUGUCCGGGAAUUCCUAACCUUCAGUAAUAAGCAGUGACACCUCUGUGACAUCUUCCCAGGACAGAGAGAGUCAAUUGUGUCUUCUAAGAUGAGCCACUUGGGCCAACCAUGGAAAUGCCAGUCAAGAAGAUGACUAGGUUUCCCCUCCUUCCAUCCCCUCCUCCCCAACUGAGGGAGAAACGAUGGUGUUGCUUGUUCACUGGAAAUUUUCAGAGAUGAGGAAGCUGAAAGGAGGAAAGGCUGCUGUCCGCUCUAAUCACGUCUCAGAAACAUUCAGCCCCACCUGACUGGGGUCCCAAUCCCAGGUAUGCUCAACGCGGCAAAAUGGAAGACACAGGGCAGUCAGUAAGAGCAGUUACAGUGGAGAAUAUAUUUUGGCACAAAUCUAAGUCAGCACGAUUUCCACCCCCGUUCUGGGAUCAGUAUAUUCCCUAAAAACACACAAGAAGACCCAAAGAAAUACAAUCCUUCCUUAUGAAAACUAGUCAUGUGCUCUAACUCCCAAGAGGGCACUCAGUGUAUAAAGUGGGAACAGGGAAAAAUUAUUUGAUCCAUGCAUGUUUACAUGGUCCCUCCUCAUCUCCUCAGAAAAGCCAUCUAGAAAAAAAAAAGUGAUAAUUUACUGAUAUUGUUGAAACUGCAAAUGAAAAUUCCAAGUAUUUUUGCACAGAAGUAUUGUGACCAGAUAAAUCACUUGAGAACCACGGGAAUGUCUUCCCCAUUUCAUAAAUUUCCAGACUGGAUAUGAUAGCAGGACUGGGUGAGGGCAGUUGAGUCCCUCUGAGAAUCCAGGAACUUAUGUAUCACUGGCCUAGUUUUGUUUAUAGAUAUAUAUAAAAAUCCAAAGCCCGAAAGGAGAUUUCGCCAUCAAUCAUUAAAUUCAUCUAAUUGCUGGCAAUGGACACACCAUUCCCCCCCCCCCCCACACACACACCAUAAAUUGUCCUCCACAAACACAUAAUAAAAGUAAAGUGAACUAAAUGUUUGUGAGACACUUGUGAGGUCAUAAAUUAUUAGGGUGGGGACACAACUGCGACCCACAUGAGGCUGAGGUUGGCAAAGGAGGACUGCAAGUAUGUGAAAGCUGGGGGACAUUCCCCGGCUCUCAGAGGUGGGCAGAAGGGACGAUGGCACAGGACAGGAUUCGUUUGGUGGCAGAGAGGGAGGUAUGAAUAACCCAGAGGGCAGACACUUGUGAGCCUCUGGUGGGUUGCCCAGAGCGCCUGUCUACAUGCCCAGGAAUCAAGGGCAGUCACGGGGUGGUUCUAGCAGCAGCACCUACGGCCCAGAAUCAAUGGGGUCAGCACGGCCAGAUGCUACCUAUGCCAGCCAGAAACGACAGUGGCUUCUUCCGGAACCGCUUCUGUGGCGUGAUUUGGGUGACUGCUCUUGGCUGGGUACCUCCCAAGUCUGGGUCUCUGUCCAUCCCAGGGAUUCGGUAGCUAUCAGAUAUCCUUUCAUUUUUUGUUUUCUUUUCUCCUUAAAUUAUCCAAAGCUGGUUUCUCCUGAGUCAGCUAAGCUGCCUGCCUGCAACCGCCUCUCCAGGAGGUCAGGGUAAGAUGGCUUUAGCCACUUGCAGGCAGGUCAGGGACAUGGCCCCAUGUGGUCCCCGGGACAGGCAUACACCUCUGAAGUCCAAGAUCAGCCUGAACUACAACCUGACGUGGCAUGACAAUGUUUCCGAUGUUCCUGUAUCUACAGAAAAGUCUCAUUAGAAAUUACAGCGGGUUUCAGCCGUGCGGUGGGAAGGGCUGCAACCAUUCCCGGGACGGAGAGGUAGAGAGAGGGCAGUAUCUGACUCCUCCCACAGGCCAGCCCUGCAGGAGGGGACCAGCAGCAAUGCCAAGAGCAGUGUUACAGCAGAGCAUGGAGACCCAGAGACGGGUCUCUGGGGAAGACACAGGCUGCAGCUAGGACAGACACGGGGACACAUGAGUGACAGCCCCUGCAAGCGUCAGAGGGCAGAGGACCUUGGGAAGGGGAUCGACAUGCCAGUGGAGUGGCCGGCAUUUGGGCAAACGAUGCAAAGAGAGAUGAUUCAGAAGCACCAUUAUCAACGUGUUGACGACAGAUCUCCCUGGACGAGGGGCUUUCGCAAGAUUCUACUUUCUUUUUUGUACUGUUUUCCGAAGUCUCUACGAUGGCCAAGUUCUCUUUGUCAGCUUUGUAAUGAAGGAAAAGGAGGAGGCGGGGGACUGGGAGAGAGAGGGGUAAGGAGGAGAAAAGGGAGAGAGGCAAUGUGGAACUGCUCCUGAAUGCUGCAUGGCUCCCUUGAGAAACAGCACAAGUAUCCGGAAGGAUGCAGUUGGUCUUUCUUGCUUUUGGGAGAGACAUGAUGGCCGUGCCCUGGAGGGAAAACUGGAGAGAAGGCGGAGUCCAUACUCCCCACAGUAAAGAACAGAGAUGGGCCUUGUCUGAGCCUUCGGAAUCCCAGGGUCACGUGCCCACAGUGGCAGUGGCAGCCGUGAGGACGUGGCCUUGCUCCAAGGCGGUAGUUGCAUCCUGCCUGCUGCCCUGCCACCUCCUCUUCCCACAGAAUGUGUCACCCCCCCUUCCUGAGCAGAAGUGCCUGGAGCCCCACUGUUGGCAAGCAUCUGCUGUCCCUCUCCGCCUUGCCUGUAAUUCCAGUCAUUUUUGCAGCUUACCCUCUAAAGAGACAGAA
This is a long non-coding RNA of Panthera uncia (snow leopard), 2753 nucleotides long. RefSeq lists it as uncharacterized. The transcript is spliced from 3 exons. The record is from RefSeq and is a predicted model, not a curated record. NCBI's taxonomy places the organism in Eukaryota, Metazoa, Chordata, Mammalia, Carnivora, Felidae.